AACGAACGCUGGCGGCGUGUUUAGGACAUGCAAGUCGCACGGGACUAUUUGAGUAGCAAUACAAGGAUAGUUUAGUGGCGCACGGGUGAGUAACACGUGAAUUACAUGCCCUGCAGAGGGGGAUAGCCCAGGGAAACUUGGAUUAAUACCCCAUGGUAUCGCGAGAUUAAAGGUGGCCGCAAGGCUGUCGCUGCAGGAUUGGUUCGCGCCCUAUCAGCCUGUUGGUGAGGUAACGGCUCACCAAGGCUACGACGGGUACCGGGUCUGAGAGGACGAUCAGGCACACUGGAACGGAGACACGGUCCAGACACCUACGGGUGGCAGCAGUCGAGAAUAAUUCACGAUGGGGGCAACCCUGAUGGUGCAACGCCGCGUGGAGGAUGAAGGUCUUCGGAUUGUAAACUCCUGUCAUCCGGGAGUAAGACCUGGCGAUGAAUAGUCGACAGGGUUGAUAGUACCGGAAGAGGAAGGGACGGCUAACUUCGUGCCAGCCGCCGCAGUAA
Molecule: ribosomal RNA, 503 nt
Filed under: uncultured bacterium
Lineage: Bacteria
Description: partial 16S ribosomal RNA
Rfam family: Bacterial small subunit ribosomal RNA
Source: RNAcentral